UACGUAGGGGGCGAGCGUUAUCCGGAAUUAUUGGGCGUAAAGGGUGCGUAGGCGGCCUUGUAAGUCAGGUGUGAAAGGUUACGGCUCAACCGUAAUUAGCACUUGAAACUGCAGGGCUUGAGUGCAGGAGAGGAGAGUGGAAUUCCUAGUGUAGCGGUGAAAUGCGUAGAUAUUAGGAGGAACACCAGUGGCGAAGGCGACUCUCUGGACUGUAACUGACGCUGAGGCACGAAAGCGUGGGGAGCGAACAGGAUUAGAUACCCUGCUAGUCCACGCCGUAAACGAUGAGUACUAGGUGUUGGGGGAGACAUCCUUCAGUGCCGCAGUUAACACAUUAAGUACUCCGCCUGGGGAGUACGGUCGCAAGACUGAA
RNAcentral lists this ribosomal RNA (373 nucleotides) under uncultured bacterium. Its description in RNAcentral is "bacterial SSU rRNA". It matches the Rfam family "Bacterial small subunit ribosomal RNA", at positions 524 to 898 of the family's 1533-position model. The record is from RNAcentral.